UCGAGUCCUACCUGGGUCGCCUUGCGGGUGUGGUGUAGCGGUAACAUGCGAGCCUUCCAAGCUCUUGUCACGGG
This 74-nucleotide transfer RNA is filed under the name Synechococcus phage S-SM2. Its description in RNAcentral is "tRNA-Arg". The record is from RNAcentral. Lineage: Duplodnaviria; Heunggongvirae; Uroviricota; Caudoviricetes; Pantevenvirales; Kyanoviridae.